UACGAAGGGGGCUAGCGUUGUUCGGAAUUACUGGGCGUAAAGCGCACGUAGGCGGCUUUGUAAGUUAGAGGUGAAAGCCCGGGGGCUCAACUCCGGAAUUGCCUUUAAGACUGCAUCGCUAGAACGUCGGAGAGGUAAGUGGAAUUCCGAGUGUAGAGGUGAAAUUCGUAGAUAUUCGGAAGAAACACCAGUGGCGAAGGCGACUUACUGGACGACUGUUGACGCUGAGGUGCGAAAAGCGUGGGGAGCAACAGG
RNAcentral lists this ribosomal RNA (255 nucleotides) under uncultured bacterium. RNAcentral describes it as "partial 16S ribosomal RNA". It matches the Rfam family "Bacterial small subunit ribosomal RNA", at positions 524 to 775 of the family's 1533-position model. The record is from RNAcentral.